AGCGGCGGACGGGUGAGUAACGCGUGGGCAACCUGCCUUACACAGGGGGAUAACAGUUAGAAAUGACUGCUAAUACCGCAUAAGACCACAGUACUGCAUGGUACAGUGGUAAAAACUCCGGUGGUGUAAGAUGGGCCCGCGUCUGAUUAGGUAGUUGGCGGGGUAACGGCCCACCAAGCCGACGAUCAGUAGCCGACCUGAGAGGGUGACCGGCCACAUUGGGACUGAGACACGGCCCAGACUCCUACGGGAGGCAGCAG
Molecule: ribosomal RNA, 260 nt
Filed under: uncultured bacterium
Lineage: Bacteria
Description: partial 16S ribosomal RNA
Rfam family: Bacterial small subunit ribosomal RNA
Source: RNAcentral